AAUUUUGGACAAUGGGCGCAAGCCUGAUCCAGCCAUGCCGCGGGAGUGAAGAAGGCCUNCGGGUUNUNAAGCUCUUUCGGACGGANAGAAAUCGCGCAGGCUAAUACCCUGCGUGGAUGACGGUACCGUCAUAAGAAGCACCGUCUAACUACGGUCCAACAGCCGCUGUACUACUGAGGGUGCGAGCGUUAAUGGGAAUUCGUGGGUGUAAACCGUGCGCAGGCGGUUGAUUAAGACAGCCGUGAAAUCCCCGGGCUUAACCUGGGAACUGCGCUUGUGACUGGUCAGCUAGAGUACGGCAGAGGGGGGUGGAAUUCCACGUGUAGCAGUGAAAUUCGUAGAGAUGUGGAGGAACACCGAUGGCGAAGGCAGCCCCCUGGGCCGAUACUGACGCUCAUGCACGAAAGCGUGGGUAGCAAACAGG
RNAcentral lists this ribosomal RNA (424 nucleotides) under uncultured bacterium. RNAcentral describes it as "partial 16S ribosomal RNA". It matches the Rfam family "Bacterial small subunit ribosomal RNA", at positions 360 to 776 of the family's 1533-position model. The record is from RNAcentral.